CUCUCUCUCUUCUGACUCUCAGCUUCUUCCUACCCCCGACUCUCGCUCUCUCGCGGGACUCUCAGCUUCUUCCUACCCCCGACUCUCUCUCUCGCGCGAGCUGCCAUUAAUUUUAGGGCUUAGAUGAAGAUCUGAAACAGUUUUUCGAUCUGAAUUCUAUUGGAUUUCGUGACCGGUGGAGUUUUUCAAUCUGAAUUCUGUUCGAUUUGCAGUUUUAUAACCCAUUAGG
Molecule: long non-coding RNA, 229 nt
Organism: Magnolia sinica
Lineage: Eukaryota; Viridiplantae; Streptophyta; Magnoliopsida; Magnoliales; Magnoliaceae
Exons: 2
Source: RefSeq, a predicted model, not a curated record